Molecule: ribosomal RNA, 428 nt
Filed under: uncultured prokaryote
Description: bacterial SSU rRNA
Rfam family: Bacterial small subunit ribosomal RNA
Source: RNAcentral
UGAGGAAUAUUGCGCAAUGGAGGAAACUCUGACGCAGCAACGCCGCGUGAGUGAAGAAGGCUUUCGGGUUGUAAAGCUCUGUCAGGUGGGAAGAAACCUUUAUAGUUGAAUAGACUAUAAAACUGACGGUACCACCAAAGGAAGCACCGGCUAACUCCGUGCCAGCAGCCGCGGUAAGACGGAGGGUGCAAGCGUUGUUCGGAAUCACUGGGCGUAAAGCGCGUGUAGGCGGCUUGACAAGUCGAAGGUGAAAGCCCUGGGCUCAACCCCGGAAGGGCCGUGGAAACUGUCAGGCUUGAGUACGGGAGAGGGAAGUGGAAUUCCUGGUGUAGAGGUGAAAUUCGUAGAUAUCAGGAGGAACACCGGUGGCGAAGGCGGCUUCCUGGACCGAUACUGACGCUGAGACGCGAAAGCGUGGGGAGCAAACA